AGGCGACGACGGGUAGCCGGCCUGAGAGGGCGACCGGCCACACUGGGACUGAGACACGGCCCAGACUCCUACGGGAGGCAGCAGUGGGGAAUAUUGCACAAUGGGCGCAAGCCUGAUGCAGCGACGCCGCGUGAGGGAUGACGGCCUUCGGGUUGUAAACCUCUUUCAGCAGGGACGAAGCGUGAGUGACGGUACCUGCAGAAGAAGCACCGGCCAACUACGUGCCAGCAGCCGCGGUAAUACGUAGGGUGCAAGCGUUGUCCGGAAUUACUGGGCGUAAAGAGCUCGUAGGCGGUUUGUCGCGUCGUCUGUGAAAACCAGCAGCUCAACUGUUGGCUUGCAGGCGAUACGGGCAGACUUGAGUAUUUCAGGGGAGACUGGAAUUCCUGGUGUAGCGGUGAAAUGCGCAGAUAUCAGGAGGAACACCGGUGGCGAAGGCGGGUCUCUGGGAAAUAACUGACGCUGAGGAGCGAAAGCGUGGGUAGCGAACAGGAUUAGAUACCCUGGUAGUCCACGCCGUAAACGGUGGGSGCUAGGUGUGGGUUUCCUUCCACGGGAUCCGUGCCGUAGCUAACGCAUUAAGCGCCCCGCCUGGGGGAGUACGG
Molecule: ribosomal RNA, 605 nt
Filed under: Rhodococcus sp. CMT108
Lineage: Bacteria; Bacillati; Actinomycetota; Actinomycetes; Mycobacteriales; Nocardiaceae
Description: bacterial SSU rRNA
Rfam family: Bacterial small subunit ribosomal RNA
Source: RNAcentral